CUUCAGCAGUGAGGAAGGUGGGUAUGUUAAUAGCAUACUCAUUUGACGUUAGCUGCAGAAGAAGCACCGGCUAACUCCGUGCCAGCAGCCGCGGUAAUACGGGAGGGUGCGAGACGUUAAGUCGGAAUUACGUGGGACGUAAAGCGCAUGCAGGUGGUUUAGUUAAGUCAGAUGUAGAAACGGCCCGGGGCUACAACCGUACGGAAUUGCUAUUUAGAAACGUGGACAAACUAGAGUACUGUAGAGGGGGUAGAAUUUCAGGUGUAGCGGUGAAAUGCGUAGAGAUCUGAAGGAAUACCGGUGGCGAAGGCGGCCCCCUGGACAGAUACUGACACUCAGAUGCGAAAGCGUGGGGAGCAAACAGGAUUAGAUACCCUGGUAG
Molecule: ribosomal RNA, 382 nt
Filed under: uncultured bacterium
Lineage: Bacteria
Description: bacterial SSU rRNA
Rfam family: Bacterial small subunit ribosomal RNA
Source: RNAcentral